RNAcentral lists this unclassified non-coding RNA (372 nucleotides) under uncultured Actinomycetes bacterium. RNAcentral's name for it is "uncultured actinobacterium contains 16S-23S intergenic spacer region". The record is from RNAcentral. Lineage: Bacteria; Bacillati; Actinomycetota; Actinomycetes.
UCCGGGUUGAACCCGGCGGUCCCGCCUUUACGCGUUAGUAACUGUGAACAAGGGUUGCGCUCGUUGCGGGACUUAACCCAACAUCUCACGGCACGAGCUGACGACAGCCAUGCAACACCUGUGAUGGUUACCGACUUUACGGUUGGGACACCCUUUCAGGCGCCUACUUCCACCAUGUCAAGCCUGGGUAAGGUUCUUCGCUUUGCAUCGAAUUAAGCAACGCGCUCCGCCGCUUGUGCGGGCCCCCGUCAAUUCCUUUGAGUUUUAGCCUUGCGGCCGUACUCCCCAGGCGGCGGACUUAAUGCGUUAGCUUCGGCACAGAAGGCAUGACGCCCCCCACACCUAGUCCGCACCGUUUACGGCCAGGACUAC